AUGUGGAAUUUGUCUCAAGCUCUAGAAGAAAUCAAUUGGGAAGAGGGAAUUCAGUCUGAUCCUGGCAAAAGGAGAAGCAUAGAUGAGUAUCCUCCUAAUCUAAGGGAUGUGGUAAGAAGAAAAUAUUUGGCUAAGCCUCUUUGUCAACCUCGUAGUUAUAAUUUUAAAACUACAACUAUUGGUGGUCGAGAGAGAAAGUUUAAUCCUGAUUGGUUUGAUGAGUUUGGGAGCUGGGCGCCGUGAUAAGAAAGAAGCUGGAUAUGCAGCAUUUGUUGCAAAGGGUUGGUCAGGCUGGAACAAAAAACAUAGACUAAAUGAUCAUGUCAGAGAUGUCAACAGUGUUCACAACCAAGCAAAAAGAGAUUGUGAUGCUUUAUUGCAACAAGACCAGCACAUUUAUGUUGCUUUCAAUAAUCAAAGCAAUGCUGCGAAGAAGGCGCAUUAUACUAGACUAAAUGCCUCAAUUGAUGUUACUAGAGUUCUAUUGCAGCAAGGGUUACCUUUUCGCGGCCAUGACGAGUCAGAGGAGUCCUUUAAUAAAGGAAAUUUUAAGGAAUUUUAUGCUUAUACAGCACAGCAAAAUCCAGAACUACGCAAGGUUGCAGGCCCUAAUGCUCCAGGUAAUAAUAAGUUGACUUCUUCAAUGAUCCAGAAGGACAUAGCUGAAUGUUUUGCAAAGCAAAUAUUGCAUUCUAUUCUAGAAGAAAUUGGAGAUGGUGUAUUUUCUUUGCUAGUUGAUGAAUCAAGGGAUGUGGCUGGUAAAGAACAGAUGGCUGUGGUCUUGAGAUAUGCUGGUAAAUGCGGAAGUGCGAAAGAGAGUUUAGUUGGCCUUGUUCAUGUGAAGGAGACAACUUCAAAGUACCUCAAGUCUGCUAUUGAUGAUUUAUUUGCAGAACUUAGCUUAAGUCUCAAGUAG
Molecule: ribosomal RNA, 916 nt
Filed under: Triticum aestivum (bread wheat)
Lineage: Eukaryota; Viridiplantae; Streptophyta; Magnoliopsida; Poales; Poaceae
Description: partial small subunit ribosomal RNA
Source: RNAcentral